CUGAGAUCGAACUUCCAGUGACUCCAGAAAAGGACUGCAGCAUGACCAUCCUUUCCUGUUCAGCCAAACACCUUAACUAGAAUUAUUCAAGUUUAAACCAAAAUUUCAGCGGUAACUGAAAUGCUUGCAGAAUACACGAACAACAGCGCCCUCUGCACCUGAAACCCCUCCGGUUAUUAAACCCAGACGUUCCUACGUGCUGGAGGAGCCUUUAAUUUCAAUUACUGCUUUUUUCAGCUGCUGCUUACACCUUCCCUAUGAGAAUGGUAUGAGAUGACAAGAAAAGGUUUCUGACCUCACCAUCCUCUACUUCCCCCACACUGCAUUUUGAAGGGAAAUUUAUAAAACUCCACCAGUGUAGCCUGGACACUGCUGUCCCAGGAAGGACUACAGGGAGAAAGAACCAGGAUCUUGGCUUUUCCUGAUAAAACCAGUUCGGAUGCAAGGGACAGCUGAGUGCUCUUGCCCCUGCCAGUAGGACCAUGGCCAGGGCUCAUCUCACUGCGGGGCGACCAUCUGCUGCCACUUAACAGCACAGGAAACCACCACUGAACAAAAGCAUCCACUCGUAGAGCAUCCCACCUCCUGCAACAAAAUGGAGGCAUAAAGGCAAUGCUACUUCAUCACAUACAAUUUACAGUGAAGAGAGGACAGCAAACACUAUAUUCUAACCAGCAGAGCCAUAGAUAUUUCUGGUGUUAUAUUUGGCUAAAAUCUCACCACCAAUCUCAGCUUCUGGCAUGGAAGGAAAGAAAUCCAUUCCCAAGGGGCACAGAAAGGAUGCAAACCUCAAGACGAGAUCCAACCCUUGCAGCCUUUGUGUGAGGUGAAGAAAAUGAAGGAAGUGAAUAAACUGCCCACCUGCUAAAAUUGAUGCUGCAAACUGCCCCCAGGAGAACUGCCAAGGAAUCCAGCCUCAUUUUGCCUGGGAAUGCAAGAUCUCCACUGUGGCUCCUCAAACUCUGUUCCCAUCCUUGCCCUUCUGCCCAGGAAAUACCAUUUAAUGCAUGUGUCCAGUUACUGCAACAACUUUGAAGAAAGGAAGACGUCAAAGGCAAUGCAAGAAGGCAAGAUCUGGCAACAGCAGCUGUCAAGAUUCCAAACCCAAGAAAUUAAAAAACACCUACUGUCCAAAUUAUUGUUGUACUGG
Long non-coding RNA from Zonotrichia leucophrys gambelii, 1150 nucleotides. RefSeq lists it as uncharacterized. The transcript has 6 exons. The record is from RefSeq and is a predicted model, not a curated record. Lineage: Eukaryota; Metazoa; Chordata; Aves; Passeriformes; Passerellidae.